GACGAACGCUGGCGGCGCGCUUAACACAUGCAAGUCGAACGGAAAGGCCUGCUUUCCCUUGUGGAUUGCGGGUACUCGAGUGGCGAACGGGUGAGUAACACGUGAGUGAUCUGCCCCCAACUUGGGUAUAAGCCUGGGAAACUGGGUCUAAUUCCCGAUAGGACUGCAGGGUGGUGCCUGUGGUGGAAAACGAUUUUCUAGUGGUUGGGGAUGAGCUCGCGGCCUAUCAGCUUGUUGGUGGGGUAAUGGCCUACCAAGGCGGCGACGGGUAGCCGGCCUGAGAGGGUGGACGGCCACAUUGGGACUGAGAUACGGCCCAGACUCCUACGGGAGGCAGCAGUGGGGAAUAUUGCACAAUGGGCGGAAGCCUGAUGCAGCGACGCCGCGUGGGGGAUGACGGCCUUCGGGUUAUAAACUCCUUUCGACCGCGAGGAAGCCACCUGGUUGGAAGGGUGGUGACGGUAGUGGUAGAAGAAGCACCGGCUAACUACGUG
RNAcentral lists this ribosomal RNA (494 nucleotides) under uncultured bacterium. Its description in RNAcentral is "partial 16S ribosomal RNA". It matches the Rfam family "Bacterial small subunit ribosomal RNA", at positions 28 to 507 of the family's 1533-position model. The record is from RNAcentral.